Hordeum vulgare subsp. vulgare (domesticated barley) is the source of this 612-nucleotide long non-coding RNA. RefSeq lists it as uncharacterized. The record is from RefSeq and is a predicted model, not a curated record. NCBI's taxonomy places the organism in Eukaryota, Viridiplantae, Streptophyta, Magnoliopsida, Poales, Poaceae. The transcript has 3 exons.
CAAGCUCGAAUGUCUUGAACAAAUGGAUGCACAGAAAUAAGAGGCGCUCCAGCAUUCAAUGAUGUUAUAUAGCUGAGAAGUCCCAUUCUGAUGUGUGCAGCAUGCCAAUGAGAUAUCAAAUUCAGAAACCACCGAUUGGAUAGAAGCCUAGAACUUGGAACGCAAGUUUCCCUACAUGACAAGAAACGACCCAUCGGUUGGAGGCCUGGAACUUGGGCCACAAGUUUCCCUGCUUAGAGAACAAGACAAUCAACCAUCAUGCAGAGGGUGAAAAGGAACAUUGUUGUUGCAAAGUACCAAAUGUAGCCGUUGUUAGUCUCGUGGCCUGUGACUUCAAUGCACGUUGAGACGACUGGUUACGUACUCAUGAACUGAAGAUGCUGGAGUAAUCAACAGAGAUUUGUUUGGCAAGCUUCCCUGCUCUCUGAAAAGAUAAUUAGUUAAGGUGUCUGCUAUGACCUAUGAAACAACUCGCUGUUGUUUUGUUCAUGGCCUUGCUAUCUAAUUUUCACUGUUUUAGUCGGGUUUUUUUUAUGAAGAAAAUGCUUGUUUCUCACCUUCUUGGUGUAUUGGAUUAUUACAUAGAAAAGAAAACAUUCACAGGAGUUUAUC